Molecule: ribosomal RNA, 972 nt
Filed under: Triticum aestivum (bread wheat)
Lineage: Eukaryota; Viridiplantae; Streptophyta; Magnoliopsida; Poales; Poaceae
Description: partial small subunit ribosomal RNA
Source: RNAcentral
AUGCAAUACAAAAGAAGGACUAUUCUAAACUUUCCAACACUUCGGCUUACAAACACACAGAAGAAAGCGUAUGGUCUGAUUGAGAUAGAAAAACUGAUGAGGCAAGUAGGAAAGUCACUAAAGGACUAUCCAGACAUAGAACUACCAAAUGCCGCAGAGCUAGAAGAACUUGGGAACAGACUAAUAAACGAAGAGGUCAACUACGACAUGGACAAACUCAAGGAUGAGCACAAAAUCAUACUAAACAAUCUUAACCAAGACCAGAAAAAGGCCUAUGAUGCAAUAAUGGAGUCAGUCGACAAAGGCCUAGGAAAGCAGAUAUUUGUCGAAGGCUACGGUGGCACAGGAAAAACCUAUCUAUGGAAAGCAAUAACGACAAAGCUAAGAUCAGAGGGGAAGAUAGUACUUGCAGUAGCAUCAUGUGGGAUUGCAGAGUUGCUUCUCCAAGGUGGAAGAACAGCACACUCAAGGUUCCGUAUUCCACUUAAUAUCACUAAAGAAUCAACGUGUGAAAUAAAACAAGGCUCGCAUUUGGCUGAACUGCUAAAGAAGACCUCACUUAUAUUGUGGGACGAGGCUCCUAUGGCAAACAAACACUGCUUCGAGGCACUAGACAAAAGCCUUAGAGAUAUUCUAAGGUUCACUAAUGAAAACAGAGAUGAAAAGUCAUUUGGUGGAAUGAUAGUUAUACUAGGACGCGACUUCAGACAAAUCCUGCCAGUUAUAACCAAAGGAAGGAGAGAGCAGAUAGUAAAUGCUUCAAUCAAAAGGUCAUAUCUGUGGAAACUCUUUGAAGUAUUUGAGUUAACACAGAACAUGCGGCUGAAGUGUUUGUCAGAUGAUCCAAUACAAAAGCAAAAGGUUGCUGAAUUGGCAGAGUGGAUACUACAGAUUGGCGAUGGGAAAACAACAUCAGAUGAAGGAGAGGAUUGGAUAAAAAUACCAAAAGACCUACUGCUAGAGAAAGGAUAA